This 612-nucleotide ribosomal RNA is filed under the name uncultured bacterium. RNAcentral's name for it is "bacterial SSU rRNA". The stretch from base 1 to 520 matches the Rfam family "Bacterial small subunit ribosomal RNA", at positions 338 to 873 of the family's 1533-position model. The record is from RNAcentral.
CCUACGGGAGGCAGCAGUAGGGAAUCUUGCGCAAUGGGCGAAAGCCUGACGCAGCCAUGCCGCGUGAAUGAUGAAGGUCUUAGGAUUGUAAAAUUCUUUCACCGGGGACGAUAAUGACGGUACCCGGAGAAGAAGCCCCGGCUAACUUCGUGCCAGCAGCCGCGGUAAUACGAAGGGGGCUAGCGUUGCUCGGAAUUACUGGGCGUAAAGGGAGCGUAGGCGGAUAGUUUAGUCAGAGGUGAAAGCCCAGGGCUCAACCUUGGAAUUGCCUUUGAUACUGGCUAUCUUGAGUAUGGGAGAGGUGAGUGGAACUCCGAGUGUAGAGGUGAAAUUCGUAGAUAUUCGGAAGAACACCAGUGGCGAAGGCGACUCACUGGCCCAUUACUGACGCUGAGGCUCGAAAGCGUGGGGAGCAAACAGGAUUAGAUACCCUGGUAGUCCACGCCGUAAACGAUGAGUGCUAGUUGUCGGCAUGCAUGCAUGUCGGUGACGCAGACUACGACAUUAAGUACACUCCGCCGUCGGGGAGGUACGGUCGCGAAGAAUUAAACUAACAAUAGUAAGUUAGACGGCGUGAGACGUAGACCGAACGGACGACGACGAGGGAGGAGG